Molecule: ribosomal RNA, 253 nt
Filed under: uncultured bacterium
Lineage: Bacteria
Description: partial 16S ribosomal RNA
Rfam family: Bacterial small subunit ribosomal RNA
Source: RNAcentral
UACAGAGGGUGCAAGCGUUGUUCGGAUUCACUGGGCGUAAAGGGUGCGUAGGCGGUCGGGUAAGUCUGAUGUGAAAUCUCACAGCUUAACUGUGAAACUGCAUUGGAUACUAUCCGGCUAGAGGAAUGGAGGGGAGACUGGAAUACUUGGUGUAGCAGUGAAAUGCGUAGAUAUCAAGUGGAACACCAGUGGCGAAGGCGAGUCUCUGGACAUUUCCUGACGCUGAGGCACGAAAGCCAGGGGAGCAAACGGG